UACAGAGGGUGCAAGCGUUAAUCGGAAUUACUGGGCGUAAAGCGUGCGUAGACGGUUACAUAAGUCGGGUGUGAAAGCCCCGGGCUCAACCUGGGAAUUGCAUUCGAGACUGCGUAGCUAGGGUGCGGAAGAGGGAAGCGGAAUUUCCGGUGUAGCGGUGAAAUGCGUAGAUAUCGGAAGGAACACCAGUGGCGAAAGCGGCUUCCUGGUCCAGCACCGACGUUCAGGCACGAAGCGUGGGGAGCAAACAGG
This 252-nucleotide ribosomal RNA is filed under the name uncultured bacterium. RNAcentral describes it as "partial 16S ribosomal RNA". It matches the Rfam family "Bacterial small subunit ribosomal RNA", at positions 524 to 776 of the family's 1533-position model. The record is from RNAcentral.